RNAcentral lists this ribosomal RNA (484 nucleotides) under uncultured bacterium. RNAcentral describes it as "partial 16S ribosomal RNA". It matches the Rfam family "Bacterial small subunit ribosomal RNA", at positions 30 to 507 of the family's 1533-position model. The record is from RNAcentral.
AUUGAACGCUGGCGGCAGGCCUAACACAUGCAAGUCGAGCGGAUGAAGGGAGCUUUCUCCUGGAUUCAGCGGCGGACGGGUGAGUAAUGCCUAGGAAUCUGCCUGGUAGUGGGGGAUAACGUCCGGAAACGGGCGCUAAUACCGCAUACGUCCUGAUGGAGAAAGUGGGGGAUCUUCGGACCUCACGCUAUCAGAUGAGCCUAGGUCGGAUUAGCUAGUUGGUUGGGUAAAGGCCUACCAAGGCGACGAUCCGUAACUGGUCUGAGAGGAUGAUCAGUCACACUGGAACUGAGACACGGUCCAGACUCCUACGGGAGGCAGCAGUGGGGAAUAUUGGACAAUGGGCGAAAGCCUGAUCCAGCCAUGCCGCGUGUGUGAAGAAGGUCUUCGGAUUGUAAAGCACUUUAAGUUGGGAGGAACAGCAGUAAGUUAAUCCAUUGCUGUUUUGACGUUACCAACAGAAUAAGCACCGGCUAACUUCGUG